Molecule: ribosomal RNA, 497 nt
Filed under: uncultured bacterium
Lineage: Bacteria
Description: partial 16S ribosomal RNA
Rfam family: Bacterial small subunit ribosomal RNA
Source: RNAcentral
GAUGAACGCUGGCGGCGUGCCUAAUACAUGCCAGUCGAGCGAACGGACGAGAAGCUUGCUUCUCUGAUGUUAGCGGCGGACGGGUGAGUAACACGUGGAUAACCUACCUAUAAGACUGGGAUAACUUCGGGAAACCGGAGCUAAUACCGGAUGAUAUUUUGAACCGCAUGGUUCAAAAGUGAAAGACGGUCUUGCUGUCACUUAUAGAUGGAUCCGCGCUGCAUUAGCUAGUUGGUAAGGUAAAGGCUUACCAAGGCAACGAUGCAUAGCCGACCUGAGCGGGUGAUCGGCCACACUGGAACUGAGACACGGUCCAGACUCCUACGGGAGGCAGCAGUAGGGAAUCUUCCGCAAUGGGCGAAAGCCUGACGGAGCAACGCCGCGUGAGUGAUGAAGGUCUUCGGAUCGUAAAACUCUGUUAUUAGGGAAGAACAUAUGUGUAAGUAACUGUGCACAUCUUGACGGUACCUAAUCAGAAAGCCACGGCUAACUACGUG